AGCAACAUGAGCACUAAUGGGCCUAAUACAUUAGAAGCUGUUGUAGACGAAAUAACUAGCAACAUGGGCACUAUCUUCUCUAAUACAUUAGAAGCUGUUGCCCCCAUCAAAUUGAAAAAGGUUAGAGAAAAACGUACUGCGCCAUGGUACAACAGUAAUACCCAUUCUCUCAAGAAAAAAACUCGUAGUCUUGAGCGCAAAUGGAGAAAAACUAACUUGGAAGUUUUUAGAAUUGCGUGGAAAAACAGUAUGUCCAGCUAUAGACAGGCUCUAAAAGCUGCCAGGGCCGAGCAUAUUCACAAACUCAUAGAAAAUAACCAAAACAAUCCUAGGUUUUUAUUUAGCACAGUGGCUAGAUUAACAAAUAACCAGACGCCACCCGAUCUAAAUAUUCCCGCACAGUUUAAUAGUAAUGACUUUAUGAAUUUCUUCACUGAUAAAAUAGAUAAUAUCAGAAAUACAAUAACAAAUGUAGAUUCUACAGCGUAUAAUACUUUAGCUUCAUUCAUCGCACCAAAAGAUAAACUGCAGUGCUUUACAGCUAUAGGACAGGAAGAGCUAAAUAAACUUAUCACUGCAUCUAAACCAACAACAUGCCUGUUAGAUCCUGUACCCACUAAAUUACUGAAAGAGUUGUUACCUGUAGCAGAAGAACCGCUUCUCAAUAUUAUUAACUCGUCGUUGUCUUUAGGUCACGUCCCAAAACCAUUCAAGCUGGCGGUUAUUAAGCCUCUUAUUAAGAAACCACAACUAGAUCCUAGUGAACUGGCAAAUUAUAGACCCAUCUCAAAUAUUCCUUUUAUGUCUAACAUUUUUGAAAAAGUCGUGUCUGCUCAAUUGUGCUCCUUCCUGCAAAAAAAUGAUCUCUAUGAAGAAUUUCAGUCAGGUUUCAGGCCCCACCAUAGCACAGAAACUGCACUUGAUAAAAUUACAAAUGACUUGCUUCUUGCGUCAGACCAAAGCUGCAUCUCAUUGCUAGUUAGACAUACUCAUAGAUCGAUUACAAAACUAUACAGGUAUUCAAGGGCAGGCU
Molecule: long non-coding RNA, 1033 nt
Filed under: Sinocyclocheilus grahami
Lineage: Eukaryota; Metazoa; Chordata; Actinopteri; Cypriniformes; Cyprinidae
Description: lncRNA (ENSSGRG00000003279.1)
Source: RNAcentral